RNAcentral lists this ribosomal RNA (800 nucleotides) under Sander lucioperca (pikeperch). Its description in RNAcentral is "partial 16S ribosomal RNA". The stretch from base 1 to 653 matches the Rfam family "Bacterial large subunit ribosomal RNA", at positions 1805 to 2925 of the family's 2925-position model. Lineage: Eukaryota; Metazoa; Chordata; Actinopteri; Perciformes; Percidae. The record is from RNAcentral.
UUUUAAAAACAUCGCCUCUUGCAAACUUAAUAAAUAAGAGGUCCCGCCUGCCCUGUGACUAUUAGUUUAACGGCCGCGGUAUUUUGACCGUGCGAAGGUAGCGCAAUCACUUGUCUUUUAAAUGGAGACCUGUAUGAAUGGCAUAACGAGGGCUUAACUGUCUCCUCUUUCCAGUCAAUGAAAUUGAUCUUCCCGUGCAGAAGCGGGAAUAAUAACAUAAGACGAGAAGACCCUAUGAAGCUUUAGACACCAAGACAGAUCAUGUUAAACACUCCUUAAUAAAGGACUAAACCAAAUGAACCCUGCCCUAAUGUCUUUGGUUGGGGCGACCGCGGGGAAACAAAAAACCCCCACGUGGAAUGGGAGCACCCCUCCUACAACUAAGAGCCGCAGCUCUAGUUAACAGAACUUCUGACCAGUAAGAUCCGGCAAUGCCGAUCAACGAACCGAGUUACUCUAGGGAUAACAGCGCAAUCCCCUUUUAGAGCCCAUAUCGACAAGGGGGUUUACGACCUCGAUGUUGGAUCAGGACAUCCUAAUGGUGCAGCCGCUAUUAAGGGUUCGUUUGUUCAACGAUUAAAGUCCUACGUGAUCUUUCACGACACUGGAUAUUUGCUUACUCUGCAUUGUGACUGGCAAACAGGUGUAUGCAUGAGAACUUAAAGCUGAGAGUAUGAGACGCUGGAAGUUUUCUUUUCCUCUCCCCUCCCCCCUCUUUUAGAUCGUGCCGUAGGUGGAGAGGAGUAACAAGAAGCAGUCUGCUUCGCAAAAUGACGAACGAAUGACGAUUGAUAGAUCUG